UACGUAGGGGGCAAGCGUUGUCCGGAUUUAUUGGGCGUAAAGAGCGUGUAGGCGGCCAUACAGGUCCGUUGUGAAAACUGGAGGCUUAACCUCCAGACGUCGAUGGAAACCGUGUGGCUAGAGUCCGGAAGAGGAGAGUGGAAUUCCUGGCGUAGCGGUGAAAUGCGCAGAUAUCAGGAAGAACACCCGUGGCGAAGGCGGCUCUCUGGGCCGGUACUGACGCUGAGACGCGAAAGCGUGGGGAGCGAACAGG
This 253-nucleotide ribosomal RNA is filed under the name uncultured bacterium. Its description in RNAcentral is "partial 16S ribosomal RNA". It matches the Rfam family "Bacterial small subunit ribosomal RNA", at positions 524 to 776 of the family's 1533-position model. The record is from RNAcentral.